This 253-nucleotide ribosomal RNA is filed under the name uncultured bacterium. RNAcentral's name for it is "partial 16S ribosomal RNA". It matches the Rfam family "Bacterial small subunit ribosomal RNA", at positions 524 to 776 of the family's 1533-position model. The record is from RNAcentral.
UACGAAGGGGGCUAGCGUUGCUCGGAAUCACUGGGCGUAAAGGGUGCGCAGGCGGUGAUGUAAGACAGAUGUGAAAUCCCCGGGCUCAACCUGGGAACUGCAUUUGUGACUGCAUCGCUGGAGUGCGGCAGAGGGGGAUGGAAUUCCGCGUGUAGCAGUGAAAUGCGUAGAUAUGCGGAGGAACACCGAUGGCGAAGGCAAUCCCCUGGGCCUGCACUGACGCUCAUGCACGAAAGCGUGGGGAGCAAACAGG